This 332-nucleotide unclassified non-coding RNA is filed under the name soil metagenome. RNAcentral's name for it is "partial contains 5.8S ribosomal RNA, internal transcribed spacer 2, and large subunit ribosomal RNA". The stretch from base 1 to 120 matches the Rfam family "5.8S ribosomal RNA", at positions 35 to 154 of the family's 154-position model. The record is from RNAcentral.
GAUGAAGAACGCAGCGAAAUGCGAUAAGUAGUGUGAAUUGCAGAAUUCAGUGAAUCAUCGAAUCUUUGAACGCACAUUGCGCCCUUUGGUAUUCCUUAGGGCAUGCCUGUUCGAGCGUCAUUUAAACCUUCAAGCUAAGCCUGGUGUUGGGUGACUGUCCGCUUCACGGCGGACUCGCCUCAAAAUUAUUGGCGGCCGGUACAUUGGCUUCGAGCGCAGCAGAAACGCGAACUCGGGCCCGUCGUAUUGGCUCCCAGAAGCUAUCUUCACAAUUUUGACCUCGGAUCAGGUAGGGAUACCCGCUGAACUUAAGCAUAUCAAUAAGCGGAGGA